AAUCAACGCUGGCGGCGUGCCUAACACAUGCAAGUCGAACGCGAGAGGGGCUUCGGCCCCGAUUGAGUGGCGAACGGGUGAGUAACGCGUGGGUGACCUACCUUCGAGUGGGGGAUAACGUCCCGAAAGGGACGCUAAUACCGCAUAACAUCCUGCUUUUGAAUGGGUGGAGAUCAAAGCCGGGGAUCGCAAGACCUGGCGCUUGAUGAGGGGCCCGCGUCUGAUUAGCUAGUUGGGAGGUAACGGCCCACCAAGGCAACGAUCCAGUAUCCGGCCUGAGAGGGCGGACGGACACACUGGGACUGAGACACGGCCCAGACUCCUACGGGAGGCAGCAGUGGGGAAUUGUUCGCAAUGGGCGCAAGCCUGACGACGCAACGCCGCGUGGAGGAUGAAGGUCUUCGGAUUGUAAACUCCUGUUGCCCGGGACGAAUGGCUCCGACCUAACACGUCGGAGUGUGACGGUACCGGGUGAGGAAGCCCCGGCUAACUC
RNAcentral lists this ribosomal RNA (493 nucleotides) under uncultured bacterium. RNAcentral describes it as "bacterial SSU rRNA". It matches the Rfam family "Bacterial small subunit ribosomal RNA", at positions 28 to 503 of the family's 1533-position model. The record is from RNAcentral.